AUUAUUUUAAUAAUAAAUUAUAGCAAAUUUAUUAUUUCUCCCUUGUGAAAUGCCAAUUCUGACCAACUACCGGAAUCUCCACCCAGUCGGUCAACUCCUUAGGACAAACUCCGCUCUUCACCGCCGCCUUGCUCGGACUGGGGAAACUGGUGGACAUCCUCCUGGAUUAUGGGUCGGACCCAAACCACCGCUGUUACGACGGGAGCACCCCUGUCCACGCAGCGGCCUUCUCAGGAAGCCAGGUCAUCCUUAGCAGACUGCUGGACGCAGGCGGGGACCUGCGACUCCACGACAAGGAUGGGAGGACGCCGCAAAGCUGGGCUGUGACCGCAGGGAAGGAAAGCAGCGCG
Non-coding RNA from Pseudonaja textilis, 350 nucleotides. Lineage: Eukaryota; Metazoa; Chordata; Lepidosauria; Squamata; Elapidae. The record is from RefSeq and is a predicted model, not a curated record.